AACGCUGAGCAAAGGAAGGAACUUAAAAGGAGAGGUCAAAAGAGAAGGAGGCCUAGAGAGAGAACUGACACAGUUCUUCAAGGCCGCGGGGAAUGGUGGUGUGUUGGGUUUGGGAGAAGUGGGCUGGUUUCUCAGCCUAACCUGAGCUUCCGCUGUCCCCAGGGGGAUGGCAUCCACUGCUACCAGGAAUAUGGAGAAAAUGGGCAGCGGGCAAUCCCAAGCCACAGACUCUGCAGCCUGCUUGGCUGGAGGUCCGGGAGCUCUGCCUAGCAACUUGACAUCUGGAGGAUGAUCCCAACUCUGGUGCUGCUCUUGGCCUCUCGUGCCCUCUCCCCGCUCUGUUCCUCUAGAACAUGCACCAAAACUCCUCUUUCACAACUCAUUCAACAGUUUGGUUUUGGGGCGAUUCCUGGUCAUGAGCAACAUCACCCCUGAAGCCUCCAAAGGGUUCUGGAACCAUCACACACCUCUCCACCCUCAGCUAGCAAGGACACCACCAGAAAUCAAAAACUUUAAUAAAGUGACAGAGAUCCUUCCCUCC
Molecule: non-coding RNA, 541 nt
Organism: Delphinapterus leucas (beluga whale)
Lineage: Eukaryota; Metazoa; Chordata; Mammalia; Artiodactyla; Monodontidae
Source: RefSeq, a predicted model, not a curated record